RNAcentral lists this ribosomal RNA (2902 nucleotides) under Klebsiella pneumoniae. RNAcentral describes it as "23S ribosomal RNA". It matches the Rfam family "Bacterial large subunit ribosomal RNA". The record is from RNAcentral. Lineage: Bacteria; Pseudomonadati; Pseudomonadota; Gammaproteobacteria; Enterobacterales; Enterobacteriaceae.
GGUUAAGCGACUAAGCGUACACGGUGGAUGCCCUGGCAGUCAGAGGCGAUGAAGGACGUGCUAAUCUGGGAAAAGCGUCGGUAAGGUGAUAUGAACCGUUACAGCCGGCGAUGUCCGAAUGGGGAAACCCAGUGCAAUUCGUUGCACUAUCGUUAACUGAAUACAUAGGUUAACGAGGCGAACCGGGGGAACUGAAACAUCUAAGUACCCCGAGGAAAAGAAAUCAACCGAGAUUCCCCCAGUAGCGGCGAGCGAACGGGGAGCAGCCCAGAGUCUGAAUCAGCUUGUGUGUUAGUGGAACGGUCUGGAAAGUCCGACGGUACAGGGUGAUAGUCCCGUACACCAAAAUGCACAGGCUGUGAACUCGAAGAGUAGGGCGGGACACGUGGUAUCCUGUCUGAAUAUGGGGGGACCAUCCUCCAAGGCUAAAUACUCCUGACUGACCGAUAGUGAACCAGUACCGUGAGGGAAAGGCGAAAAGAACCCCGGCGAGGGGAGUGAAAAAGAACCUGAAACCGUGUACGUACAAGCAGUGGGAGCACCUUCGGGUGUGACUGCGUACCUUUUGUAUAAUGGGUCAGCGACUUAUAUUCUGUAGCAAGGUUAACCGUAUAGGGGAGCCGCAGGGAAACCGAGUCUUAACUGGGCGUUAAGUUGCAGGGUAUAGACCCGAAACCCGGUGAUCUAGCCAUGGGCAGGUUGAAGGUUGGGUAACACUAACUGGAGGACCGAACCGACUAAUGUUGAAAAAUUAGCGGAUGACUUGUGGCUGGGGGUGAAAGGCCAAUCAAACCGGGAGAUAGCUGGUUCUCCCCGAAAGCUAUUUAGGUAGCGCCUCGUGAAUUCAUCUUCGGGGGUAGAGCACUGUUUCGGCUAGGGGGUCAUCCCGACUUACCAACCCGAUGCAAACUACGAAUACCGAAGAAUGUUAUCACGGGAGACACACGGCGGGUGCUAACGUCCGUCGUGAAGAGGGAAACAACCCAGACCGCCAGCUAAGGUCCCAAAGUCAUGGUUAAGUGGGAAACGAUGUGGGAAGGCACAGACAGCCAGGAUGUUGGCUUAGAAGCAGCCAUCAUUUAAAGAAAGCGUAAUAGCUCACUGGUCGAGUCGGCCUGCGCGGAAGAUGUAACGGGGCUAAACCAUGCACCGAAGCUGCGGCAGCGACACUAUGUGUUGUUGGGUAGGGGAGCGUUCUGUAAGCCUGCGAAGGUGACCUGUGAGGGUUGCUGGAGGUAUCAGAAGUGCGAAUGCUGACAUAAGUAACGAUAAAGCGGGUGAAAAGCCCGCUCGCCGGAAGACCAAGGGUUCCUGUCCAACGUUAAUCGGGGCAGGGUGAGUCGACCCCUAAGGCGAGGCCGAAAGGCGUAGUCGAUGGGAAACAGGUUAAUAUUCCUGUACUUGGUGUUACUGCGAAGGGGGGACGGAGAAGGCUAUGUUAGCCGGGCGACGGUUGUCCCGGUUUAAGCAUGUAGGCUGGUUAUCCAGGCAAAUCCGGAUAAUCAAGGCUGAGGUGUGAUGACGAGGCACUACGGUGCUGAAGUAACAAAUGCCCUGCUUCCAGGAAAAGCCUCUAAGCAUCAGGUAACAUCAAAUCGUACCCCAAACCGACACAGGUGGUCAGGUAGAGAAUACCAAGGCGCUUGAGAGAACUCGGGUGAAGGAACUAGGCAAAAUGGUGCCGUAACUUCGGGAGAAGGCACGCUGGUGUGUAGGUGAAGUCCCUGCGGAUGGAGCUGAGACCAGUCGAAGAUACCAGCUGGCUGCAACUGUUUAUUAAAAACACAGCACUGUGCAAACACGAAAGUGGACGUAUACGGUGUGACGCCUGCCCGGUGCCGGAAGGUUAAUUGAUGGGGUUAUCCGUAAGGAGAAGCUCUUGAUCGAAGCCCCGGUAAACGGCGGCCGUAACUAUAACGGUCCUAAGGUAGCGAAAUUCCUUGUCGGGUAAGUUCCGACCUGCACGAAUGGCGUAAUGAUGGCCAGGCUGUCUCCACCCGAGACUCAGUGAAAUUGAACUCGCUGUGAAGAUGCAGUGUACCCGCGGCAAGACGGAAAGACCCCGUGAACCUUUACUAUAGCUUGACACUGAACAUUGAGCCUUGAUGUGUAGGAUAGGUGGGAGGCUUUGAAGCGUGGACGCCAGUCUGCGUGGAGCCAACCUUGAAAUACCACCCUUUAAUGUUUGAUGUUCUAACGUUGGCCCCUGACCGGGGUUGCGGACAGUGUCUGGUGGGUAGUUUGACUGGGGCGGUCUCCUCCCAAAGCGUAACGGAGGAGCACGAAGGUUAGCUAAUCCUGGUCGGACAUCAGGAGGUUAGUGCAAUGGCAUAAGCUAGCUUGACUGCGAGCGUGACGGCGCGAGCAGGUGCGAAAGCAGGUCAUAGUGAUCCGGUGGUUCUGAAUGGAAGGGCCAUCGCUCAACGGAUAAAAGGUACUCCGGGGAUAACAGGCUGAUACCGCCCAAGAGUUCAUAUCGACGGCGGUGUUUGGCACCUCGAUGUCGGCUCAUCACAUCCUGGGGCUGAAGUAGGUCCCAAGGGUAUGGCUGUUCGCCAUUUAAAGUGGUACGCGAGCUGGGUUUAGAACGUCGUGAGACAGUUCGGUCCCUAUCUGCCGUGGGCGCUGGAGAAUUGAGGGGGGCUGCUCCUAGUACGAGAGGACCGGAGUGGACGCAUCACUGGUGUUCGGGUUGUCAUGCCAAUGGCACUGCCCGGUAGCUAAAUGCGGAAGAGAUAAGUGCUGAAAGCAUCUAAGCACGAAACUUGCCCCGAGAUGAGUUCUCCCUGAGACUUUAAGUCUCCUGAAGGAACGUUAAAGACGAUGACGUUGAUAGGCCGGGUGUGUAAGCGCAGCGAUGCGUUGAGCUAACCGGUACUAAUGAACCGUGAGGCUUAACCUU